Molecule: long non-coding RNA, 1795 nt
Filed under: Homo sapiens (human)
Lineage: Eukaryota; Metazoa; Chordata; Mammalia; Primates; Hominidae
Description: non-protein coding lnc-FZD10-6:1
Source: RNAcentral
AAAACACUUCUCAUUGCCAAAACUGGCCUCUCCUAGUCAAUAUUUUCAGUUUGAUCUGAAAGUGGCUAUUCAUGAGUAUCCUUGGCUGUUUCUCAGGGACUGUUUCAAGUGAACUAAACUCCAAGCUGUUUAGGUUUGUUUUUCUCUUCUCUUUUCUUUUCCUUUUAAUCUGGAACUCCUGAACUGGGACCAGCUAUAUUUCAUGACAUUCAUCAACACCUAAAUAGCCUAUUUGUUCGAUGUCUCACUCCCCACUCCCCCAGAGCUAGAAUCUAAGCUCCCUGAGAGCCAUAGCUUUGGCUGUUUUGUCUACUGGUCUGUUCUUAUGGCUCAGGACACUGGAGAAUCAUGCAGACCCCCUGUAAGAGUGUUAAAAUCAAUUCCUCAAUCAAUGGCUUUUCUUCUCCCACUCUCUUUCCCAACGUGCGGUGACCACAGAAGCCUCAGCCCCGUGUGCUCCCAUCUUUGUGUCCAGGGCUGUCUUCUCUGAAGGUUCUUGCAAAGCCCUGGGCCUCGCUCUGAUUGGACCAGCAUAGGCCUCAUGCCCGUGCCUGCACUUGUCCCUGUGGCCAGGAAGACACUGUGCUUUUCAUCCAGGCCUUGGUCUUUCAUCCCUAGACCACAUCUACUGAAACUGACACCAGGCUAGAUCCACAAAAUGUGGUGGCUGUUGCUGAAAUUUGGCAGUUUAGAUCCUGGGAAGGCAAACCAAAAUUAGCUACCCAACCUCAAAAACAAAACAAAAGUCUUGGGCUGGGCAUAGUGGCUCACUGCUGUAAUUCCAGCACUUUGGGAGGCUGAGGCGGGCAGAUCACCUGAGGUCACGAGUUCGAGACCAGCCUGGCCAACAUGGUGAAACCCGGUCUCUACUAGAAAUACUAAAAUUAGCUGGACAUAGUGGCAGGCACCUGUAAUCCCAGCUACUCAGGAGGCUGAGACAGGAGAAUCACUUGAACCUGGGAGGUGGAGGUUGCAGUGAGCUGAGAUCGUGCCACUGCACUCUAACCUGGGUGACAGAGUAAGAUUCCAUCAAAAAAAAAAAAAAACUCUUGAAGGUAGAAAUUUUCGCCCUUGCUUCUAUGAAGUUCUCAAUCUCUAGAAAAGUAAAAGGUCGCAAGUUAAGCAGGAGGCCCUACUUCUAUCCGUCACUGUGCUCCUUGUUACCAUAGGUGGUCACUGCCACUGAGCCUCCAUUCAGGGAAUGGGCUCUGUUUGCACCUCUGCAGCUCUGAACUCAGGGCACACCUAGGCAGCCAAUAAAACCUGCACGCAAACCACAUUUUCAAAAAGCAUCACUUGUUUUCUACUGACCUUUUGACAAUGUAAGCAAUUAAUUCAGACAAUUUUCUGCACAAUUAAUCUUACAGACAGGUUCAAAAGUCUGUCACCUUGCAGCAGGAAAAAGCACUACUGAAAAGAAAGGAAAACUAACCUUUAGUUUCAAGGGUGUGUAUGUUCUCCAAACUCACCAAAUUGUAUCCAUUAAAUACAUACAGAACACCUCAAUAAAAUGGUUUUAAAAUAAUCUAUAACAUUUCUGCCAUUUUUUGGAUAGGAUACAUCACAUUUUCCCUAAAGAAUAUGAAACUCUGGGGGCAGUAUUCAUCGUCAGCUGGGGCUGCCGUAACAAAGUCCCAGAAGCUGGGUGGCUUAAACAGCAGAAAUUUAGUUUUCAAAGCUCACAUCUCCAAAUGCAGCCCCAGCCUGAGGGGCUGAAAGUUUGGGCUUCCACAGAAGGAUCUGGGGGACCCAAUACAGCCUGCAACAGUUGGAGAACUUGCUCAGAACCCACCCC